AGUCGAGUUCAGUUUGUGUUAAUGAGCAUGAUGAUCUGUGAACUGGGCUAGCUGAGGAGCUGGCUGUUCUGCUGCUGCUGCUGCUGCUGCUGGGGAAGGAGCAGCCACUGGCAGGACUGGAGCUGGGCAGCUUUGGAACUUUACUGAGACAGACUUGGACUGCAACCCAGGAAUGAAAGCUGUGGCUUGGAUCUACAUCUGUAUGUACCCAGGAGAAGGACUGAACCUUGUGCAUCUGAGCAACUUCAGUGAGUAUGGAUGUUAAUGAAAGACCACCGCCUUCUCUUCCUCCAAAGACUGACUCCUUUAUUCAGAGGGAGAUAAUGACAGAGAAGAUCAUGGCUGGGUCAUCUAUACCACCCUGUCUUCCUUCUAAAGCCAAUACGAACCUUCAUUUGCUCAUCUGGCUCCCUGAGGACAAGUGGGAUCCAGCUUCAAUGUAGACGUCUAAAGAAAAGGAUGAUAGGAAAUGCUCCUUCACAGCAUAUGGUCAGCCACUGAGGAUACUUAAGCUUACCUGAGGCAGACAGAGUGAGUUAUGUUUCCCACUAAAUAGGGGAGAUUGAUUUAGUAAUGACAAAAGCUGACUGGAAUUCCUAUA
RNAcentral lists this long non-coding RNA (601 nucleotides) under Numida meleagris (helmeted guineafowl). RNAcentral describes it as "lncRNA (ENSNMEG00000005527.1)". The record is from RNAcentral. Lineage: Eukaryota; Metazoa; Chordata; Aves; Galliformes; Numididae.